Molecule: non-coding RNA, 1366 nt
Organism: Microcebus murinus (gray mouse lemur)
Lineage: Eukaryota; Metazoa; Chordata; Mammalia; Primates; Cheirogaleidae
Source: RefSeq, a predicted model, not a curated record
CGCGGUGACGUGGGGGACGGCAGCGCGGUGACGUGGGGGACGGCAGCGCGGUGACGUUGGCGCCUCUUCCCAGCAGAGUCACGCACACGGGGCCUCGCAGUGGGGACGGGGACUGACCCGCAGCGCAGGCUGACAAGCUGACAGGCUUGUCACGCGGCCACCGCCAAACUCCCGACCUGUGGGAAGCAGGGCCAGCCUCCGCCCCCGGUGGCUCCGCUCCCGGCGAGGACGGCCCCCGAGGCCUGCUGGUGACGCCGGACCCGCCCGGCACUGAGGGGCCCGUCUCCUCGUUGACACACCCGUCACACCCGCUCCGGAGACGGCCGGGUCUUCUCUGCCACCAUGCUCAUGCCGUGCCACCUCCCGUCACACUGCUGAGGAGUUGGUCGUGCGGCAAAGGCAGCGUGGCAGCGGCACGCGCGUGACGUCCGUCUCCCCAAGGCCAAGGUCCCCGCCACCCGGGGCGGCUGACCUGCUGGCACGGAGGGACGACCUCUGGGAACUUCACGCCUGGAGACAGCCGCACGGAUGCCACCAGCGCACGGCGCCGUCUCACAGCCGAGCCCCGUCUGCGACGCCAGGGUGGGACCAGGAAGGGCUCUUGUCCCCACCACACCCAGCGGUCACCGCAGGGCGGUCUUAGUUCCCAAGGUGGGGACAGUCCUCCUGGGGCCACAUGGCGUCCACUGCACCGCAAGCUCAGGCCGCCACCAGCUACGGGGCUGCUCAUGCGGCUGAUCGCGCAGGGAGGAGAGAGUCCUGCCUCGGAUGGGAUGACCUGCGCCAAUGACAGGCUGCAAUGACGGGCUGCUGCCACCAUCUUCGGAACCCAGGACACUGGCCGGGUGCUUCUGGAAAUUUUCAUGACGAACAUUGUGGCCGAUAAAGGCAAGAUGACGAAGGCUUCGGACACUGGGAGUGAAUGUUGAAUCUCUCACAAGGACUGAAUGCAAGAUCCCCUUUUUCUUUCUGCCUGACAAACGCGCUGAGGGCUCACAUACUUCACCUGGAGAAACUGCGGGAAUCAACUCACAGGGAGCGGCCGGCCACCCACAUCUGGACCCUGAAAAGUGUCUGCUGCCACCCACGUGGGACCAGACCCUGCAGAGCGGCCCUUUGCCACCAGGAAGGCUCUGGCUGUAGAAUUUCGAUCGCUGUGUUUUCCCAACGUGCCAGAGCCCCAGUGGGAAGUACCUGGGCCGGUUACCGCGUAACAGACGUGUGCCGUCUUUCCAUCAACCCCACGCAACACAACACGCCCCGGAGUACGCAAGACUGAACGGACCUUUAUGCACGUUGUAUAGCUACAAAAUAACUGCUGUUCGCUACUAAGGCUGCACUGGGGGGUCUUCUGAGCCCAGCGAGC